GGCGGGCCCGCCUUAACUGGCCGCCGGGGGGCUCACGCCCCCGGGCCCGCGCCCGCCGAAGACACCCUCGAACUCUGUCUGAAGAUUGUAGUCUGAGUGAAAAUAUAAAUUAUUUAAAACUUUCAACAACGGAUCUCUUGGUUCCGGCAUCGAUGAAGAACGCAGCGAAAUGCGAUACGUAAUGUGAAUUGCAAAUUCAGUGAAUCAUCGAGUCUUUGAACGCACAUUGCGCCCCCUGGUAUUCCGGGGGGCAUGCCUGUCCGAGCGUCAUUGCUGCCCUCAAGCACGGCUUGUGUGUUGGGCCCCGUCCUCCGAUUCCGGGGGACGGGCCCGAAAGGCAGCGGCGGCACCGCGUCCGGUCCUCGAGCGUAUGGGGCUUUGUCACCCGCUCUGUAGGCCCGGCCGGCGCUUGCCGAUCAACCCAAAUUUUUAUCCAGGUUGACCUCGGAUCAGGUAGGGAUACCCGCUGAACUUAAGCAUAUCAAU
This 486-nucleotide ribosomal RNA is filed under the name Scopulariopsis brevicaulis (arsenic fungus). RNAcentral describes it as "eukaryotic LSU rRNA". The stretch from base 118 to 270 matches the Rfam family "5.8S ribosomal RNA". Lineage: Eukaryota; Fungi; Ascomycota; Sordariomycetes; Microascales; Microascaceae. The record is from RNAcentral.